Molecule: long non-coding RNA, 1458 nt
Filed under: Homo sapiens (human)
Lineage: Eukaryota; Metazoa; Chordata; Mammalia; Primates; Hominidae
Description: HSALNT0214004
Source: RNAcentral
CUGACACAUUAUUGCUUUCCAGGAAGUGGUAGGGAUGACAAAAAAGCAUAUUCCAACAGGGCUUUGGAGAGGAUAAAGUCCAAGAAGUACUGAAACCAAGAGUCACUUAAAUUUUUAAGAAUCUUCAUUUUAAAGAUAAGUAGUAGUCCACAUAGGAAUGCAUGGUAUUCAAUGAUGAUUUCCUACAUUUAUUCAAGGGAUAGGAACAUGCUAUUGUGAUCAGAAAGAAAAAUCAAACAAAAAGAAGAGGCCAAAGGAAAGGAUAUGGUCAGAAAAAAAAAUCAAACAAAAAGAAGAAGGUGAUAAAGGAAAACAGACGAUAGUGGUUCCUAUCAAGAUCUUAGAGAAAGAGAACAUUAACUUUUUUCUCAACUGGUUUUCUAUAUGAGAGAGAGAGAAAGUUAAAUUUUAGGAUCUCUUGAAGAUCAGAAAUUUUGAGAAAGAGAGAAUCAAUGAAAUUCAGAAUUUGGUGGAGUUGGUAAAAGAUUCAGAUGAUUAAAUGUUAGACAAGGCUAUCUAACAGUAAAUUAUUGUCCCAGUGAGAAAAAAGGGUGAUACCAAUCAGAAUGUGGUCAAGUAAAGUACCAGAAUUAUUGAUAUAAAAAAAAUUAAUGUGAGUGAUGAAGUGGAAUAUUAGUGAUUGUAGUCAAAGAACAAAGUUCAGAUUUUAGAGAUGGAGAAGCCAAUAGCCACUAUGGGGAAAGGGUUGGAAAAGAUUAGAAGUGGAGGCCAUUGGUUGAGACGCCUAUGGAACAGAUGAGGCUAGGCAGCUGUAUGUGUUAUCAUCAGGGAUGGAAAAAUCUCAGGAUAAUGACAGGAGUGGGGCGGAAAGAAAUCCUAUCAACCUGGAACCUAAGCAAUUUGAUGACUGAGAGGGGAUGACAUAGGUAUUAGGAUAUAACCGGGGAGCAGAUGUCAAAGUAGAUUGGUUAAAGUUGACUCCAAGGAAAUAAAAGCUAUUUAACAGGAGGGUAGAUAAAUAGGGCAUCAGUUUCCUAGAGUGGUGUUUCAGCUAUUAUUGUGUUGCUUAUUCUCUAGGGAGACAAAUUGGAGUGAUAUCCAACUAAUCAGAAGCUGGAUGUAGCUGAAGGACUUCUUGUUCUAAUUUAUCUGGCUGUGUCUUCACUGAGCGGAAGUAUGCUGACUGUUUUACAUGUGGUAGCUACAAAAAUCUCAUAAAAUGUAGAGCAGGAUGCCUAGAGGAAACUGAGGCUGAGAAAGAUGCAAUAACUUGCUGAAUAUCACAGAAAGGAAGAAGAUAUGGUGGUUGAAGUUACAAGGACUCCUUGUUGUAACCAGGAGCCGAUCUUGAUCAAUGGAGCUACAUAAAGCAUGUUGAAAUGCAAAGAAAGAUAGAAGGAGCCUGUGGUACUGAAAACAUUGAGGAUUCUCUGAACCAGCCUUGGCUACCCCACCAUUUAACUUGAGAAAAAAUAUUUCUUUCCUCUUUAAGCUCUU